CGGCUGUGCGUCUACGCAUGCGCAGACACGCUCCUUCUUCCCUCACUCAGAAAUCUACUUCAUGGAAAGAACGGCUCUGCUUCUGCGCAUGCGCGGGAAAUGAAGCCGACUGAAAGGAGGCGGAGCUUUUUCCCCUUAGCAACGGGAGCUUGUUUGAGGCUGUUGCUACGCGGAAGCUGGCUGGAGCUUGGCCUGAGGCCUUCUUUCAGAUAGUUACACCUCUCAUGGCAUCACCGAGAUGCCCACUAUGGAUGAUUUGGAAGAAAGUCUGAGGCAACUCAAGGUCCAAGUGGAUAGCUUGGCCUCCAGCCUGAAUCAAGAGCACCCUUUCAACUUGGAAUCUGUAUCUGAUACAAGCCAUUUUGGCUCCAAUUGGCCAGUGGCUCUUACUGGGAGCUGGGAGGACUCCAGUAUUGGAGAGACACCAAAGUCAUCCACAGAGACAGAGCGGUUCUUGAAGCUGAAGCAUCUGCUCAGACCUUCAGAGAUGACAAACUUGGGCCUCCCAAUUGUUGCCAUGUCGCCAAUGAAGCGGGUGACUGGGCUGCUCGGAAAUGAGUUCAUACACCAAAAUAUCUGGCCGUCGGUGGAUCGCGCCUUCCCCUUGAAGCUUGGGUCUCCGCAUGUCAUCGGCGUCAAGUCUUUGUUGCCUCCUGAGAUCCCAGUGAAAGGCUCCUGGCCAAAAAGGUCCUCUUUCUCCCCGCCGCUGAGCCUUGACCAUUCUGGGUCCAUCCGUAGCCGGUCAUUCUCUCCACCUGCCAAACGUACACGCUGGGUCCGAUCCCACUCUCAGUCUCCGAGGCCGGUGUGGAAGCCCACCUCAGCCAAGGCCAAUGCUUGUGCGCAACCUCCGCCACAGCUCUUUAAGAAAGGCAGGUUGAGCAAGCAGCCGCAGGUAAGGAUGCGCAGUUCGUGGUCUCCUAAGGCAAGGGGAACACUCAACAAUGGAUGGAGUCCGUACAGUUUCCCUUCUGCUUCUAUCUGCUCACCUACAGCCCAAGAACUCAAUGAAAGGUUCCUUCAGACUCUUGCCGAAAGUGCCAUUGGGAAUUCCCUGAUCGAAACGUCUCCGUACCGGCAAGAGUUGGCUCGUCUCCGCCUGGAGCGCCUUGGCGUGGAAGAAGCCUGGCUUCUGGAGCUGAAGCGGCAGCAGGAACUGGAGCGGACCCGAGGCCCCAAACCAAAAUGGUACGAGAUGCGAAACUCUCAGUUCCACUACGAAGCCCGCAAGAAUAAUGAGCUUUUGAGAAACAGCCAAGAGGUGCCCUCUGUCUCCAAGUACAGGCAGGACCUAGUGACGGCUUCCAAAGAAUUCCUCCUGCAUCCUAUUUCCACUUACCUAGAUACCUAGAGGUAAAGAUCUGUUUGGGAAUCUUGGGCAGCUUGCUCCUUCCAGAAGAUGUAAGUCUUCUCCCCAAGGCACCGAAGCUGGACUUCAAACACCAACAUACCGCCUUUCUGUCUGUUCUCUUCUGUCCUGUCUGUCCAAACGAGAAGAAUCGGAAGAGACGUCAACACACACAAAUGGGGAACUCUGGCAACUUCACCACGUUUUGUUUAUUAUUAUUUUUAAUGAAGGAGAAAAAAUACUGCGUCUCAAAAAGUUAUUAGUGAAAAGGGGCCCUGUUUCGUGUUCUUGGGUUAAGCAAACCCUGCUUCACAAUACCAAUAAAGAAUCCCACCAUGUUUAUGUUA
Anolis carolinensis (green anole) is the source of this 1695-nucleotide RNA transcript. RefSeq lists it as uncharacterized. NCBI's taxonomy places the organism in Eukaryota, Metazoa, Chordata, Lepidosauria, Squamata, Anolidae. The transcript has 5 exons. The record is from RefSeq and is a predicted model, not a curated record.